This 530-nucleotide ribosomal RNA is filed under the name uncultured bacterium. RNAcentral's name for it is "bacterial SSU rRNA". It matches the Rfam family "Bacterial small subunit ribosomal RNA", at positions 777 to 1304 of the family's 1533-position model. The record is from RNAcentral.
AAUAGAUACCCUGGUAGUCCACGCCGUAAACGAUGAGUGCUAAGUGUUAGAGGGUUUCCGCCCUUUAGUGCUGCAGCUAACGCAUUAAGCACUCCGCCUGGGGAGUACGGUCGCAAGACUGAAACUCAAAGGAAUUGACGGGGGCCCGCACAAGCGGUGGAGCAUGUGGUUUAAUUCGAAGCAACGCGAAGAACCUUACCAGGUCUUGACAUCCUCUGACAACUCUAGAGAUAGAGUGUUCCCCUUCGGGGGACAGAGUGACAGGUGGUGCAUGGUUGUCGUCAGCUCGUGUCGUGAGAUGUUGGGUUAAGUCCCGCAACGAGCGCAACCCUUGAUCUUAGUUGCCAGCAUUUAGUUGGGCACUCUAAGGGUGACUGCCGGUGACAAACCGGAGGAAGGUGGGGAUGACGUCAAAUCAUCAUGCCCCUUAUGACCUGGGCUACACACGUGCUACAAUGGAUGGUACAAAGGGCUGCAAGACCGCGAGGUCAAGCCAAUCCCAUAAAACCAUUCUCAGUUCGGAUUGUAGG